AUACGGAGGAUCCGAGCGUUAUCCGGAUUUAUUGGGUUUAAAGGGUGCGUAGGCGGCCUUUUAAGUCAGCGGUGAAAGUCUGUGGCUCAACCAUAGAAUUGCCGUUGAAACUGGGGGGCUUGAGUAUGUUUGAGGCAGGCGGAAUGCGUGGUGUAGCGGUGAAAUGCAUAGAUAUCACGCAGAACCCCGAUUGCGAAGACGCCCGGCCAAGCCAUGACUGACGCUGAUGCACGAAAGCGUGGGGAUCAAACAGGAUUAGAUACCCUGGUAGUCCACGCAGUAAACGAUGAUCACUAGCUGUUUGCGAUACACUGUAAGCGGCACAGCGAAAGCGUUAAGUGAUCCACCUGGGGAGUACGCCGGCAACGGUGAAACUCAAAUGAAUUGACGGGG
This 393-nucleotide ribosomal RNA is filed under the name uncultured bacterium. Its description in RNAcentral is "partial 16S ribosomal RNA". It matches the Rfam family "Bacterial small subunit ribosomal RNA", at positions 523 to 918 of the family's 1533-position model. The record is from RNAcentral.